RNAcentral lists this ribosomal RNA (547 nucleotides) under uncultured bacterium. RNAcentral describes it as "partial 16S ribosomal RNA". It matches the Rfam family "Bacterial small subunit ribosomal RNA", at positions 355 to 889 of the family's 1533-position model. The record is from RNAcentral.
UGGGGAAUAUUGCACAAUGGGCGCAAGCCUGAUGCAGCCAUGCCGCGUGUGUGAAGAAGGCCUUCGGGUUGUAAAGCACUUUCAGCGAGGAGGAAGGUGGUGAGCUUAAUACGCUCAUCAAUCGACGUUACUCGCAGAAGAAGCACCGGCUAACUCCGUGCCAGCAGCCGCGGUAAUACGGAGGGUGCAAGCGUUAAUCGGAAUUACUGGGCGUAAAGCGCACGCAGGCGGUUUGUUAAGUCAGAUGUGAAAAUCCCCGGGCUCAACCUGGGAACUGCAUUUGAAACUGGCAAGCUAGAGUCUCGUAGAGGGGGGUAGAAUUCCAGGUGUAGCGGUGAAAUGCGUAGAGAUCUGGAGGAAUACCGGUGGCGAAGGCGGCCCCCCUGGACGAAGACUGACGCUCAGGUGCGAAAAGCGUGGGGAGCAAAACAGGAUUAGAUACCCUGGUAGUCCACGCUGUAAAACGAUGUCGAUUUGGAGGUUGUGCCCUUGAGGCGUGGCUUCCGGAGCUAACGCGUUAAAUCGACCGCCUGGGGAGUACGGCCGC